Long non-coding RNA from Pyrus x bretschneideri (Chinese white pear), 940 nucleotides. RefSeq lists it as uncharacterized. The record is from RefSeq and is a predicted model, not a curated record. The transcript has 3 exons. NCBI's taxonomy places the organism in Eukaryota, Viridiplantae, Streptophyta, Magnoliopsida, Rosales, Rosaceae.
AAAAUUGAUAUUAGGUUACAAAAGUCAUUGAAUAAUAUAAUAGUCCGCCAGUGUAGCCAUAGAAAUUAAAUACUAGUGCCAUUUUCAUCUUAGCUCGACGCUAAGUUUCAGUAUCUAUUUAAUUUAGUUAUUAUGAAAGCACAAAGUGGAGUUAUAUAUGCAUGUGCAAUUCUUCAGUUCGAGAUAAAAGGAAGGAACAUACAUCUUACAUGGAUAUAGGCUGACAUGAAGUUAAUUUUGUUCUUCGUUUAUUCCCUCUUCCCAUGCAGAGAUAUUUUAAAGAAUCUAAAGCGUCAUAAGGACGAAGAUCUUAAAGGUCAAGCAGUAAAGAACCAAAAGGAGCCAGUUAGGUCUAUAUUUUGUGAUUCACAUGAAGGCGUCAAUGCAGCAUAUUCUGAUCUAGUCGACUCAUCAAAGAGAACUUUGGAUUCUUGAGCAGAACUACAAGAGUUACAGGCUUUCGUUGGGAAAAACCCUUCUUCCAUCUUUCAAGCAACAGAUAGUAUGUGCAAACUACAUUUAUCAAACUAUUAUAUUUAUUUUGUAAUAUAAUUUGGCUCUCCGUUGUUGUGCAUAAUCUAUCAUUUUCAGCAUGACAAGAAUUGCCAAUAUGCGAAAGGUUUGCUAUGCUUGGUGUAUUACAUUUUGUGUUUGAAGUUUUUAAUAUCCGUUUAAAUUCUCGUAAAGUGCGUUUAGCUUGUAACUAUACAAUUAGCUAAGACAGAGUUUGAUUUUAUCAAAUCAAACUUUAAGGAAAUGCUUCAAGUUUCCUCUAUUCAUAUGAUUGUGAGGGUUCCUCAAAUUUCAGAAGUUCCACUACAACAGUUACUAUAAUUAGUCAGAUUAUGAUGGUACUAUGCUAUUAUCAAGAGUGUACGAGUUUUAAUCAAGAGGAAUGGAUUUAGCUCAGCCUUGCCCAAGCGUAUCCCAAAACACAAAG